This 385-nucleotide ribosomal RNA is filed under the name uncultured bacterium. RNAcentral's name for it is "bacterial SSU rRNA". It matches the Rfam family "Bacterial small subunit ribosomal RNA", at positions 29 to 417 of the family's 1533-position model. The record is from RNAcentral.
AUUGAACGCUGGCGGCAUGCCUUACACAUGCAAGUCGAACGGUAACGCGGGGCAACCUGGCGACGAGUGGCGAACGGGUGAGUAAUGUAUCGGAACGUGCCCAGUAGUGGGGGAUAGCCCGGCGAAAGCCGGAUUAAUACCGCAUACGACCUACGGGUGAAAGAGGGGGAUCGCAAGACCUCUCGCUAUUGGAGCGGCCGAUAUCAGAUUAGGCAGUUGGUGGGGUAAAAGCCUACCAAGCCGACGAUCUGUAGCUGGUCUGAGAGGACGACCAGCCACACUGGGACUGAGACACGGCCCAGACUCCUACGGGAGGCAGCAGUGGGGAAUUUUGGACAAUGGGCGCAAGCCUGAUCCAGCCAUGCCGCGUGCGGGAAGAAGGCCU